UGGGAAGAACAGAUAGUAUUGGUAUGUGAGAGCAAGGAGGCGCCUAACCCUCCCCCGACCUACCAACCUGUCGGGCGCCGCCAUUUACCCAGUGACCUCUUGUAUAGUCACACUUGAUCACUUUGCUUAUCCUUGGGGUACCUGCAUUGGAGCGCAGGUUGGUCAGGAUACCACUCUGGGAGACCAUUGGGGCCUCCUCUACUGUGACAAAGGAGUUCGGUUUGGACUGUUCCAUACUCAUCAACUUGUUACAACAAUACCUCUGAAGAAGACCCUUAGGGUCGAAACACGUUAGGAAUUGCUAUAUGCUUGUACCCGCUGUAUAUCAAUUUGUUGUGUCCUGUUAAAUGUAUGGAAUUUUAACGAUUUUGUAUUACCGCAACUCAUAUCUUAAACUACCCCUACAUCCCCAUUUUUUGUACGUGUCAUCCAA
Molecule: long non-coding RNA, 433 nt
Organism: Rana temporaria (common frog)
Lineage: Eukaryota; Metazoa; Chordata; Amphibia; Anura; Ranidae
Exons: 3
Source: RefSeq, a predicted model, not a curated record